CAGGGAUGUUUUGAUGCAGUAUGGGACGAAGUGUUGGGCAACACGAAGUUAGCAGUAAUAGUGUAUGUUGUGGCAUUUCUUUUUCAGGUAUGUUAUCAUUAUCAAAAGUGUUGGCUUCUUUCUGUACUAAAUGUUAUGCAUAAAUGACCAUUACUGCUAAAGGAAUGGACUUUUAAAACGACGGGAAACUUUUACCCUUCUGCUGAUUCAACUUCUUUUUAUGUAAAAGCCAUGAUACUCGAUUAUGUUUUCUGUAUGGUGGUUUCUGCUUUUUUACUUGUUUGACUCCCUCUUAAUUUUCUUACUUAAUCAGUAUUUAGUUUCCAAAGGUGUGUUUCUAUAUACUUUUUUGGCAUGGCGUUGAUGAUUUGCUUUCGACUUUAUUUUUGAAAUUGCUUGAAUUUGAUUUUAUAAAGCCAAUUAUGUGUAUUUUUAUGUUAUUUCUCAAUGUAUUUAAAUUAACACAAAUAAAUAAUCCCCAAUUAAUGCUUUUCAAUAUAAUAAUGGCAGCAUGCGGUAUAAAUUAAAUUGAGAAUGGAAAUGGGGAAUGUGUCAAAGAGACAACAACCCGACCAAAGAAAAGACAACAACAGAAGAUCACCAACAGGUCUUCAAUGUAGCGAGAAAUUCCCGCACCCGGAGGCGUCCUUCAGCUGGCCCCUAAACAAAUAUAUACUAUAAAUGUAUUGCUUAGGAACAGCAUACGGCAUAUUUUGUUUUUAGUGAAUUUAAAGGAAAAACAUGCUAUACAGAGGAAAACGUGACCGGUAUGCAGCAGUUCCUCAAUGACAACGUCUUUGUUGAAUUUAGAGGUACACUUUUUCAGUAAGUCUUCGGUAUUCCUAUUGAAACGAAGUGUGCGAAUUUCUCCUUGCCAAGCUCUUCUUAUUUUCAUACGAUUCGGAAUUUUUAUCAGAAAACUGGUAAAAAAAAAUCAAGUAUCCGGAUCAUUUUAUUUCAAAUAUAUUGAUGAUGUUUUGAGCUUUUGAUUUUGCCAUUUGAUAAGGGACUUUCCGUUUUGAGUUUACCUCGGACUUCAGUAUUUUUGUGAUUUUACUUGUUUCCAUCAAUAAUCGAAACGUUUUUUUAAUAAUAAACAACAGGCAUGUUUUUUUCUGCCUCAUUUUAAGACUCAUACAUUGAAUUUUCGUCAUCUCAAUACCAGAAUCUAUGACAAGGGAGACGAUUUUUAAAGUAGAAAUUACAAAUUUUCCCGAUCUUAAAUGAAGUAUACCAACUUUAGUUACCUGCAUAUGAUAUAUCAAUUUUCCAACUCAUUUAAGUGAUUGAAGCUGCCACUCAGACUUUUUACAAUUUCAUCAGUGUCUGAGCUGAAAGUUGAUAGGCCAAGGUUAGGUCAAAUUUCGUCUCAUCUUGAUUCUAAAAAAAUCGUAAAAAGAUAUCAAGACGUUGAUGAUAAAUAAUAGGGUUUCGCUUUUUUUGUCCUUGUAUAUUUUUUUUUAUUAACCUUUACAAUUUAUUCAUUUUUCAUUAUAUAUUUAUGACGUUGAUUUUUGCGUUUGCAUCCCGCCAUUGUGCUAUUGUAAAUAUUCAGUUCUUGUCUUUCAUUCUUCCUGCUGUACUUUGUCCAUACACCAUUUUGCGUGUCUUUGUUAAAACAAAUAUUUGUUUUUAUACUGAAUAAAAUUAUACUACGAUUUUGACUGAUUUACCCCAAUUUUUGACAUUUUUACCUUUUAUGUCUCUCUGUUUUUCUUACACGUUAUUGUGAAUAUUAUGAAAUGAUAUGCGACUGUCAUAAAAGUGAGAAGUUUAAACCACUGUUUUCUACAUAAGUAAAUGCCUAUACCAAGUCAGUAAUACGACAGUUGUUUCUAUUUGUUAGAUAUGUUUGAGCUUUUGAUUUUCUCAUUUCUAAAAAGAUCUUCUGUUGUGAAUAUCCAUUUAUAUUGAAAUCAUGAUUUACAAUUCAAUAUUGGACCAUGUUGUUUCCCGCAAGUAAUGUAUGACCAGAUGCGUCUUUGCAUACGAUAAUGUAAAAUACCUUUUCUUUUGCGUAUUAUUUACGUUUUGAAUUUUCCUCGGUACUUUUGUUAUUUUACUUUUCCUAACGUUUCGGCAUUGCGAAACUGUCUUAUCAAACAGUAUUUUGAUGGGUUUUUUUUUAGCAUGAAACACACUUCAAUGAAUUAACCUUAAUCGUUUUUUAUUGUAAUAAUACUUUGUGUGCAAUCGACAAAUCAUUGUUAAUACAGCUGUUUUUAUACAAAACACAAGGAAAACUAAACACCGAACAACACAAACCCAGCCAAAACUUUAAGGUUAUUUCGUGUGCUCCAAUAGAGUUACAUUUGUGGCACUGUCGUGUAGCUCAUUCUAGUACAAUUCCGGUGAAAAUUAUUAUUCGGUAGGUCAUAUUCGAACACAGCUGUAGUUACGACAAUUGGCACAUUCUGUCGUCGUAUGUGAAACGGUUAUUCCAUAUGCCCGCGUCACACUGUCCUGAUUUUUACGCCGAUGUAAACACGAUUAUGGAAAUUAUGCCCGCGUCACACUGUCCCGAUUUUUACGCCGAUGUAAACACGAUUAUGGAAAUUUUCAAAAUCGGGACUGAUCGUAUCCAGAUCGGGCUAUUCGUUGUGCCAUCUUUAACCAUCUUUAACCAUCGUUCACUUUUUCUAGCCUUCGAGGACAACUUCGGGAAGGGUUCUAAAUUUUUUAACAUGUUAAAAAAUCCCCGAAGGUGCGUCCGAUGUUGAGGGUUCGUAUUGAGUUCGUAUCACCAUCCUCACCAUCGUAAUGUCACCGGGAAUGCAUCUUUGAACAUCGCAUUGCAUUCGUGUUUCCAUCGUUUCCAUCGGGCAGUUUUGACAUUACGAUGUCUAAACGAAUGAAUCACGAAGCUACCCGAAGGUCUUACGAUGGCAACACGGCUUCGUGACGACCUCGUAAUCCCGUCGUGUUGCCAUCGAAUAAAAGUACGAAGGCGACAAGAUGGAACUACGACGGCAAUAAAUCCAGCUUAAUGUAUACUAAGUUAAUUGUCGCGCUAAAAUGCAUUUAAAGUGCCAUGCGCAAUAUGCACUGGUCAGUCUUAUACGACAGUUAAAAAAGACGUUCACAAAACAUGGAGCUUAUAUCAUUUGAUUCUAUGAGAACAAGAAAGGCGACAGCGUUGUUUCUAUUAAUUCAAAUGGAACAAGAAGAGCAGCUAUUACAGGCUCAGGAUUUACUUUCACAAGUAAAUUAUUAUUUUUUGUCAAUUUUUCAUAUCAAGUAACAUAAUGAAAAUCAUAAAUGCGCCUCGUACACCAACACUGCAGGUACACGUAUAUAGGGAACCGACUUUUUCUUCAUUCUUCUGCUGAUUUUUUUAUGUAUCGUCUGAGUUGUUGUCACACGAAUGUUCACUCCAUAACCAUUUUGUUUUCUACAUGUAUAUAUGUCAUAUUUAGUCGCAUUUGUUGCUUUCCAUACAUCCUUCCUUUUGUCUAUAUUAUUAUGAUAUUCUGGAAAGAGCUCUUUUUGAAUAAAAGGGAUCAACGAACCCAUUACCUUACCUUAAAGAUAGAUCAGUAAACAUGGGCAUAACUAUGGGUGAUUAUUCAGACUAGUGCACACCUUUUACAGUUCAAACAAGGCAAUGCCGAGCAUGGCACCCCCAUGUAUGUAACAUAUUUGGGACAAAUAUGGACACUAUAUCUGUAUAUGACACAUGCAGAAAAUGGCAAAUUGAAUAUGCAUAUUUGAUACAUAAACUAUUUUUUUUUUACAAAUCAACCUAAUCAUUCAGUAACUGGAAAUACCUUUAGUAUUGUCUUUAAAACCAGCAGUUCAAAAAAUGAGCAACCAAUUUCUUGUGUAUUAUGCUAUUUGAAGGAGAAAAAACAAGUCCAUCUGCAUGACCUUGACCUUUGGCCUUGAACGUAAAAAAUGUCAAAUCAUUACAAGGAGGAACACUAUACCAAAUGUAGUUAAAAUCUUUUGAAGCGUAUUGGUUUUAGAGUGUCAACAAGGGUGAUAUUGCCUUGUAUUACAACUGUUACCUUGACCUUUGAACUUUAAAGUCAAUAGCGCUUAAUAUAUUCGUAACACCAUAUCAAGUUUUGAGCAUUUCGGUUCUAGAGUGUCCAUUAUAUAAUUUUUUUUCUACACGCAACUUACAUGUAGUAAGCGAUGGGAUAAUAAACUAAGUCUUUUAGACAUCGUAUGGCCAUCGCACCAUCAUCGUAAUCCGUCGUGUAGUCUUCGUAAUCCAUCGUGAAGCCUUCGUGAUCCAUCGUGUAGGCUUCAGCUGAGAUAUGAAGCUUGAAUACCCGUCUUCGGUUAACCUUCGCAUGUUCAUCUUUUGUUAUCGUAUAUCAUUUCAGCACCAUCGCAUAGACUUCGUUAUUCAUCGUACUUGCUUCGGUCACUUUUUGGUAUUUUAACGAGAUCGGGACCAACUACGUACGUACUUACAAUUUUCUCAUUCGGGUGUCAAUCGUAUAUAAAAAUCGGGACAGUGUGACGCGGGCAUAACGGUCAACCGAAGGUCCAAGUGAGCUUUUCUCAUCACUUUGCGUCCGUCGUCCGUCGUCGUUGUCGUCCGGUGUCAUCUGUUAACUUUUACAAAAAUAUUCUCCUCUGAAACUUCUGGGUCAAAUUUAACCAAACUUGGCCAGAAUCAUCAUUAGGGUAUCUAGUUUAAAAAAUGUGUCCGGUGACACGGCUAUCAAUCCAAGAUGGCCGCCAUGGCUAAAAAAGAACAUAGGGGUAAAAUGUAGAUUUUGGCUUACAUCUCUGAAACCAAAGCAUUUACAGCAAAUCUGACAUGGGGUAAAAUUGUUUAUCAGGUCAAGAUCUAUCUGCUCUGAAAUUGUCAGAUGAAUCGGAGAACCCGUUGUUGGGUUGCUGCUACUAAAUUGGGAAUUUUAAGAAAAUUUUGCAGUUUUUGGUUAAUAUCUUGAAUAUUAUUAUAGAUAGAGAUAAACUGUAAACUGCAAUAAUGUUCAGCAAAGAACGAUUUACAACUAAAUCUAACAUGACCAAAAUGGUCAGUGUUGAUCUCCUAAAGAGUAAUUGUCCUUUAUAGUCAAUUAAUAAUAUUUUUUAGUAAAUUUUUGUAAUCUUUCACAAAAAUCUUCUCCUCUAAAACUUCUAAGUCAAAUUUUAACCAAACUUGUCCACAAUCAUCAUAAGGGUAUGUAGUUUAAAAAAAAUGUGUCUGUUGACCCGGCCAGCCAACCAAGAUGGCCGCCAUGGCUAAAAUAGAACAUAGGGGUGAAAUGUAAUUUUUUGCUUAUAACUCUGAAACCAAAGCAUUUGGAGCAAAUCGGCAAAAAAUGAUUAUUAAGUCAAGAUCUAUCUACGCUGAAAUUUUCAGAGGAAUCGGACAACCCGUUGUUGGGUUGCUACCCUUUUAUUGGUAAUUUUAAGGAAAUUUAGCCGUUUUUAGUUUUUAUCUUGAAUAUUAUUAUAGAUAGAGAUAAACUGUAAACAGCAAUAAUGUUCAGCAAAGUAAGAUCUACAAAUAAGUUACAUGAUUAAAAUGGUCAAUCGACCCCUGAAGGAGUUAUUGCCCUUUAUAGUCAUUAUUUACCAAUUUUUCGUCACUGUUUGUCAUCUUUUACAAAAAUCUUCUCCUCUGAUACUUCUGAGUCAAAUUUAACCAAACUUAAGCACAAUCAUUGUAUGGGUAUCUAGUUAUAAAAAUGUGUGCGAUGACCCAGCCAAACAAUCAAGAUGGCGGCCAUGGCUUAAAAAUGAACAUAGGGGUAAAAUGUAGAUUUUGGCUUGUAACUCUAAAACCAUAGGAUUUAGAACAAAUAAAAAAAUGUGGUUAAAUUGUUAAUCAAGUACAUAUCUGUCUGCCCUGAAAUUUUCAGAUGAAUUGGACAACUGGUUGUUGGGUUGCUGCCCUCCGAUUGGUAAUUUUGAAUUUUUGCCAUUUUUUGUUAUUAUCGUGUAUACUGUUAUAGAUAGAGAUAAACUGUAAACAGCAAUAAUGUUCAGCAAAGUAAGAUAUGAAUAUAUGACAACAUGACCAAAUGGUCAGUUGACUCCUGAAGGAGUUAUUGCCCUUUUUAGUCAAUUUUUAUCAGUUGUCAUGAAUCCAUCUGUGUCCUUCAUAGACCAAGGUGAGCGACACAGGCUCUUUAUAGCCUCUAGUUAUAUGAAUCAUAUGAAUCAGAAUUCCUUCAGACACCUGUCAAAAACAAGAAGAUCAAAGAAGCCAUGUCAUUUAAUUCAUAUUCAGAUAUAUUGAUGAUGUUUUUUUCAUUAACAAUCCCAAUGUUGCUGAUUAUAUUCCAUCGAUAUAUCCCCCAGAACUAGAAGUUAUAGUUACAACAGACAAGGUUUCCUCCGACUCAUUGUAUGUCUUAUAACUUCAAAGACGUUAAAUGACACAGACAUUAAUAACAAUAAGUCACUGUACGACCUUCGGCUAUGAGCAAAGCCCAUACCGCAUAGUAAGCUAUGCAAGGCCCCGAAAUGUCAAAUGCAAAACAAUUCAAACGAGAAAACUAACGGCCUUAUUAAUGUACAAUAAAUGAACGAAAAACAAAUAUGUAAGACAUUAACAAACACCAACCACUAAAAUACAGACUCCUGAUGUAUUUGUGGUAGCCAUUUGGUGUGACUCUGUACUUAUACAUCCCGUCAUUGUGUUAUUGUUCUAUGAUAAAUUUUGCAUUCUUUCCUUUUAUGUUUGCUUAUAAGAUUUUUCCAUAUGCCUUUCAUGUGUUUUGUUUACAUAUGAAGAGGCUUUGUACUUUUACAUUCCAUCAUUGUGUUAUCAUUCUAUGAUAAUUUCUGUAUUCUUAAAAUUGGGAAUGGAAAUGUUGAAUAUGUCAAAGAGACAACAACCUGACAAAAGAGCAGAGAAAAGCAGAAGGCUAGCAAUGGACCUUUAACGCACGAUAACUCUCGCACCAGGAGGUUGUCCUCAGCUGGCCUCUCAAUGAAAUUGUGUACGAGUGAAAAAGCACACUAAAAUCCCAAAACAAAUAAAUGAACUUAAAUUGAAAAAUAUACAUGACUCACAAAGGCCAGAGGUACCCAACUUUGGACAAAUACUGUUUUACAUUUUUUACCUAUUAUAUAUGUUUGAGUUGUUCACACAUUGUUGUCAAUAUAAAAGAAUUUUAUGCGACUGCCGUACAAGUGAGAUGUUUAGCUAGCUAUAAAAACCAGGUUUAAUCCACUAGUUUUUAUAUAAGAAAAUGCCUGUACCAAAUCAGGAAUAUAAAUACAGUUGUAGUCUAUUCGUUUGGUGUGUUCGAGCUUUUUUGCCUUUUUAUUAGGGACUUUCUGUUUUGAAUCAUAAAAGGAGUAAGUCCAGAUUCGCCGAACGGAGUUACUUGUUCUCCUUCAAAAUGCGUACAUGCAUCACUGACCAUGCAAGUUAGCACACAUUGAAUAGGAAAUACAUUUGUAAUUGAUAAAACUACGGCUAAGCUGCCUAUUCAAGUAUCUUCAGAUCUUAGAUCACGAAAAGCAUGUCGCUAGAAAUUCAACAUAUAGACAUGUGUUGUGUCUUUUUUAAGGCUUGGUUGUUUAUAUUGUGUCUGUUACUAAGUCUUUGGUUUUCUAUGUUGUGUUAAGGGGACUACUGUUUGUUUUUUCGUCGUUUCGUGUAAUUAUCAAUAUUGUGUGAUAUUGUCAAAAUAAAAAAGAAGAUGUGGUAUUAUUGUCAAUCACACAACUCUCCACAAGAGACCAAAUGACACAGAAAUAAACAACUGUAUGUCACCGUACGGCCUUCAACAAUGAGCAAAGCCCAUACCGCAAAAUCAACUAUAAAAGUUUCCGUAAUGACAUUGUAAAACAAUUAAAAGAAAUAACUAACGGUCAAUUUUUGUUCAAAAAUGAACGAAAAACAAAUGUGCAACACAUAAACAAGCGACACCACUGAAUUACAGGCUCCUGGCAUGGGACAAGCAUACACAUAAAGACUGUAGGGUGGGGUUAGGGUAAAACAUGUUAGUGAGAAUCCAACCCUCACCUAAACGAGGGACGAAAGAUACCAGAGGAACAGUCAAAUUCAUAAAUCGGAAAUAAACUGACAACGCCUGGCUAAAAAUGAAAGAUGACAAAAAGGGAAACAAAAGAACACAUGACACAACAAAGCAAACUAAAGAAUAAUUAACACGAGCCCCACCAAAAGCUAGGGGUGAUCUCAGGUGCUCGGGAAGGGUAAGCAGAUCCUGCUCUACAUGUGGCACCCGUCGUGUUGCUUAUGUUGUAACAAAUCCGGUUAAUAGUCUUAUUUGGUAGGUCAUAUUCAUGAAAGGGAAGGGGUUGUAGUUACGACGUAAGGAACAUAUCCGAUAUCAUUUGUGAAACGGUUAUUCCAUAACGGUCAACCAACUCGUGGUGGCGUCCGUAAAAUUUACGAAGGGAUGAUUUCAACUUCACCAUUUGGAACUAUUGGUUUAAUAGCUUCCUUGUGAGCAGCAACCCUUCAUUCAGAAAAUCAUGAUAGGAAAUGCAAGCACAGGAAUUUUGUAUCAAUUGUGAGAUAUAUACCCCGUAUGCAGGUGCUGUUGGAAUGUUGCUACUUAGAAAAUGAAAGUUCACAAUUGGAAAGCUGAAAUCAUCUCUUUUGUCGUAAAGUUUUGUUUUCAACCGACCCAUUGUCAAUUUCUUGAUGUAAGUCAAGAUAUGAGGCUGACUUAACUGUAUCUAUUGUAUCCUUUAUCUCUAGCUCGAUGGGAUAGAUGCAUUGAACAUAGUCACCAAAUAUUGAAUUAUUUAGUGAAAGAACGUCAUCUUUAUAGCGGAAAGUAGAGUUAAAGGAUAUUGCUAACUUUCUUCCUAAGAAGUUCCUGUAUGAUGUCAGCCUCAUAAUAAUAAAGAAACAAGUCGGCAAGAAGAGGGGCAUAAUUGGUUCCCAUUGGAAUGCCGUCAGUCUGUUGAAAAACAUGUCCUCUAAAAGUAACAAAUAUGUUGUCAAUCAAAAAAUUAAGUAUCUUGAUAUUGUCAGUUUCAGAGAAAAAUUUUUUUUUGAAUCAGAGUGAUCCUUUACAAAGUAGGAUUUAUCCCUCUCUAAAGUUACACCACUUUCCCUAACCUGGGACAGUGGUGUCACAGUUCAACAUUAGAACGGAGUAUGCAAAUUUGUUGAAAAAGGUUUGUCAGUAUGUUUUCUACUUAUGAUUUUGAAUAUAUCUUUUUGUACAAAAAUGUAACUUUCGCCCAUCUUUUAUCGUAUUAACUAAAUUUGAAGGAAAUAGAAAACGUAAGAUUUAAUUAUUUAUUAUGCUCCGUAACGAAUGUUUCAAAGUUUCUCUUUAUUUUUCAAGGUAUUGCUGAUAAUAUUUUCCUACUUGAUGUAUAUCGAUGGUAAGAAGAAGGGAAACAAAGUGUACCCUAAAGCUUAGCCAAGAAAACAGACUUCUGAGGAAUAUUGGUCCUCAAUGGAGAGAAGGGAA
Molecule: long non-coding RNA, 9377 nt
Filed under: Mytilus galloprovincialis (Mediterranean mussel)
Lineage: Eukaryota; Metazoa; Mollusca; Bivalvia; Mytilida; Mytilidae
Source: RNAcentral